Long non-coding RNA from Homo sapiens (human), 1994 nucleotides. Ensembl annotates it as ZNF213 antisense RNA 1 (head to head). Its record names the gene ZNF213-AS1. Lineage: Eukaryota; Metazoa; Chordata; Mammalia; Primates; Hominidae. The record is from Ensembl.
AUUUACCUCGUUCUCUUUUGUCUCCGCUUUUUUUUCACAUUUCCUUGCGACCCUGGCCCUUGAGCGACAAAAAGGGGAAGCCAAGGCUGGCCCGAGGAACGGAGAGGGCACAUGGCCUAGCCACAAGUGGAGCUUCUGCUCCGCCCGAAGGGAUGCGCUGGAGCGGCCUCUUCCUUCUGCCACGGUCUUUCUUUGCCAACUAGUAGGUGAGGGCCGAAAGGCCGCGGGCCGUGGAGCUCGGGCCGGGGAGACUCUUUUCUAGCCUCUUGGGUCCCGCUCCUCCCAAUUCCCUGGAGAGGCGUCGAGCUUGCUGGGAAGUGCCCUCGGAUAUGCUUCUACGUACACCUUUAUUCAUUUGCUUGAACAUUUCCCUGAGAAAAACUAGAAAUGGAAUUGCCAGAUUACUUUGUGUACAUGUUUCCAAACUGUCCUCCAGAAAGAAUGUAAUGCUUUGAACUUCCACUUGAGAAUCAAAUGUUUACCUUCCUCUGUUCCUCCAGAUUUGGACAUUUACAGUGUUCAGCCGUUGUUGUGGCAUUCCAAUUCAAUUGGGAAACAGCUUGAUGUAGCGUCCCCAUAAGGUCCACAGUAAUUAAAUUUUUUUUUUUUUUUUUUGGUGCGGUAGUGCAAUUUCAUGGCUCACUGCAACCUCCACCUCCCAGGUUCAAGCGAUCCUCCCAUCUCAGCCUCCCUAGUAGCUGGGAUUACAGGUGCACGCCACCACACCAGGCUAAUUUUUGUAUUUUUAGUAGAGAUGGGGUUUCACCAGGUUAGCCAGGCUGGUCUUGAACUCCAGACCUCAAGGGAUCCGCCUGCCUCAGCUUUCCAAAGUGCUGGGAUUACAGGUGGAGACUGGACCUCAGAAGAGGGAGUGGGUGCCCCGAGAACUCACAGCUAGCGGACAGUGGAAAGGGCAGGAGCCGGACCAAGGUGAGGACAGUGGAACUGAAGGCCGCUGGUUACCUCUCCUGCCCUCCGCUGGCCACAGUGGAGAAGACAGCCCCUCCCUCCUGCUCUGACCUGACAGUGUUCAUCCAUCGCCCUGUAUUAGCGAAGAACAACAUCAAGCUGGCUAGCAAGGAACUGUAUACAGGGUCCAGCUGGGUAUCACACUGGAUCUCACCCAAAGCUUAGAUGUGAUCCAGCUCAGUAUCACAAAGCAGAACGAAAAGGAUGUGUUUGGGCUGAGAGGCCAUACAUUGGCUCCGGCAUGACGGGUGACUUCUUCCGAGUCUGGCUUCUGCAGCACACAGGGCUUCGCCAGCACCCAGCUCCUGCAGCAUGGGCAGCUCCUGUGACAGCAGGCGCCCGCAGCCUGCAAAGCGUCUCCAGUGCCGCCGCCUCAGUGAACCUCAACCAGCGGCACCUAGCAGCUUUCUCUGCCACCCUCUUCAGGUAGUUCUGUAGCAGCGCGUUUCUCAUGAGACACUUCCCUGUGAGCAGCUUUUUCUACCCUUGAGGAUGGAUUUCCAGCAAAUUCUGCCCAUGUGGUACCACAGCCACUUCUCUGCCAUUCAGUGAAACUGCCGUUGUGCCCUCUUCAAGGUCUGGAUCUAAGCCCAGGGACCAGGAAACCUCUUGCUUGAGUGCUGGAACUCAGGCCAGAAGGUAUGGCUGCUGCUAUGUGCUGUGACCAGAGAAUCAGAGUUCUCUUUACUUCUUACCAGCCAACCUCUUGAAAAUGCCUUUUUGUUUUUUGUUUUUUUUUGAGACGGAGUCUCGCUCUGUUGCCCAGGCAGUGCAGUGGCUCACUGCAACCUCCGCCUCCUGAGUUCAAGUGAUUCUCCUGCCUCAGCCUCACAAGUAGGUGGGAUUACAGGCAUGUGCCACCACGCCCAGCUAAUUUUGUAUUUUUAGUAGUGACGGGGUUUCUCCAUGUUGGUCAGGUUGGUCUCAAACUCUCGACCUCAGGUGAUCCACCUGUCUCAGCCUCCCAAAGUGCUGGGAUUACAGACGUUAGCCAGAGCGCCCAGUCUAAGCCCUUUAUAGCUUAA